GACGAACGCUGGCGGCGUGCUUAACACAUGCAAGUCGAACGGAAAGGCCCUGCUUUUGUGGGGUGCUCGAGUGGCGAACGGGUGAGUAACACGUGAGUAACCUGCCCUUGACUUUGGGAUAACUUCAGGAAACUGCGGCUAAUACCGGAUAGGAGAUCCUGCUGCACGGUGGGGGUUGGAAAGUGUCGGCGGUUGGGGAUGGACUCGCGGCUUAUGAGCUAGUUGGUGGGGUAGUGGCUUUCCAAGGUUUUGACGGGUAGCCGGCCUGGGAGGGUGACCAGGGACCAGGGGACUACGAGAGGCAGCAGAAGCCAACGGGAGGCAGCAGUCGGGAAUCUUGCACAACAGGCGGAAGCGUGAUGCGACGGCGUUGCGUGCGGGAUGCCGGCUUUCGGGUUGUAAACCAAUUUCGACUUAGACGAAGCGUGAGUGACGGUAAUUGGUAAAGAAGCACCGGCUAACUACGUG
This 468-nucleotide ribosomal RNA is filed under the name uncultured bacterium. RNAcentral describes it as "partial 16S ribosomal RNA". It matches the Rfam family "Bacterial small subunit ribosomal RNA", at positions 28 to 507 of the family's 1533-position model. The record is from RNAcentral.